CCCUGUGGGGGGGGUGCCCAAUACAUGCAAGUCGAACGAACUCUGGUAUUGAUUGGUGCUUGCAUCAUGAUUUACAUUUGAGUGAGUGGCGAACUGGUGAGUAACACGUGGGAAACCUGCCCAGAAGCGGGGGAUAACACCUGGAAACAGAUGCUAAUACCGCAUAACAACUUGGACCGCAUGGUCCGAGUUUGAAAGAUGGCUUCGGCUAUCACUUUUGGAUGGUCCCGCGGCGUAUUAGCUAGAUGGUGGGGUAACGGCUCACCAUGGCAAUGAUACGUAGCCGACCUGAGAGGGUAAUCGGCCACAUUGGGACUGAGACACGGCCCAAACUCCUACGGGAGGCAGCAGUAGGGAAUCUUCCACAAUGGACGAAAGUCUGAUGGAGCAACGCCGCGUGAGUGAAGAAGGGUUUCGGCUCGUAAAACUCUGUUGUUAAAGAAGAACAUAUCUGAGAGUAACUGUUCAGGUAUUGACGGUAUUUAACCAGAAAGCCACGGCUAACUACGUGCCAGCAGCCGCGGUAAUACGUAGGUGGCAAGCGUUGUCCGGAUUUAUUGGGCGUAAAGCGAGCGCAGGCGGUUUUUUAAGUCUGAUGUGAAAGCCUUCGGCUCAACCGAAGAAGUGCAUCGGAAACUGGGAAACUUGAGUGCAGAAGAGGACAGUGGAACUCCAUGUGUAGCGGUGAAAUGCGUAGAUAUAUGGAAGAACACCAGUGGCGAAGGCGGCUGUCUGGUCUGUAACUGACGCUGAGGCUCGAAAGUAUGGGUAGCAAACAGGAUUAGAUACCCUGGUAGUCCAUACCGUAAACGAUGAAUGCUAAGUGUUGGAGGGUUUCCGCCCUUCAGUGCUGCAGCUAACGCAUUAAGCAUUCCGCCUGGGGAGUACGGCCGCAAGGCUGAAACUCAAAGGAAUUGACGGGGGCCCGCACAAGCGGUGGAGCAUGUGGUUUAAUUCGAAGCUACGCGAAGAACCUUACCAGGUCUUGACAUACUAUGCAAAUCUAAGAGAUUAGACGUUCCCUUCGGGGACAUGGAUACAGGUGGUGCAUGGUUGUCGUCAGCUCGUGUCGUGAGAUGUUGGGUUAAGUCCCGCAACGAGCGCAACCCUUAUUAUCAGUUGCCAGCAUUAAGUUGGGCACUCUGGUGAGACUGCCGGUGACAAACCGGAGGAAGGUGGGGAUGACGUCAAAUCAUCAUGCCCCUUAUGACCUGGGCUACACACGUGCUACAAUGGAUGGUACAACGAGUUGCGAACUCGCGAGAGUAAGCUAAUCUCUUAAAGCCAUUCUCAGUUCGGAUUGUAGGCUGCAACUCGCCUACAUGAAGUCGGAAUCGCUAGUAAUCGCGGAUCAGCAUGCCGCGGUGAAUACGUUCCCGGGCCUUGUACACACCGCCCGUCACACCAUGAGAGUUUGUAACACCCAAAGUCGGUGGGGUAACCUUUUACGAACCAGCCGCCCAAAAGGUGACCCCU
Molecule: ribosomal RNA, 1476 nt
Filed under: Lactiplantibacillus plantarum
Lineage: Bacteria; Bacillati; Bacillota; Bacilli; Lactobacillales; Lactobacillaceae
Description: bacterial SSU rRNA
Rfam family: Bacterial small subunit ribosomal RNA
Source: RNAcentral